AUAAAUAAUGGCGGAGCGGGCAAGAAAGAAAGCCAUGGCGGCGGCGGCGACAGAGCUAAUACCAAUACCACCCCUGCUCAUCAUCUUGCUCCUCCAUGCGAGCAUUCUCUACGUACCUCGCGCGGGCGCCGCGGCGCGUCACGGCGGCGGCGGCGGGGGCGUGCGUUAUGUACGUACCCAGCAGGAGUCAGCAGCACAGGACCUCCUCCGAUGGAAGUCGAUCCUGCGAAGCUCGCCGCGGGCGCUGGGCUCGUGGCAGCCGGGAACCAGCCCAUGCAGCAGCAACUGGACGGGCGUCGAGUGCAGCGCCGUGGUGCGCCGCGGCCACCGUGGCCCCACUGGUGGGCUGGUGGUGACCGCCGUCUCCCUGCCGAAUGCCAGCAUCGACGGCCACCUCGAUUUUAAGGCCUGUGUUGCUGACUUUGGCACAGCAAGGAUUAUAAAACCUGAUUCAUCGAACUGGAGUGAACUAGCAGGGACAUAUGGUUAUAUAGCCCCAGAGCUUUCAUACACAUCAGUUGUGACGACGAGAUGCGACGUCUAUAGUUUCGGUGUGGUUGUGCUAGAGAUUGUGAUGGGGAGAUAUCCUAGGGAGUUGCAGUCCCUUGGUUCCAGAGGAGAGCGUGGUCAGCUUGCGAUGGAUUUCUUGGACCAGCGCCCAUCAUCUCCAACAAUUGCAGAGAAGAAAGAAAUUGAUCUACUCAUCGAAGUGGCAUUUGCUUGCAUAGAAACUUCUCCUCAGUCAAGACCAGAAAUGCGACAUGUCUACCAGAAACUGGUUCACCAACAACCGUCAUCGCUUGCCUCACCCUCAAAUUCAAUUAAACUAGAACAAAUAACAGAUGGGGAAGUGUAGUGUAAAUUGUAUUGCAUCAAUGAUUAACAGUACCAUAUUUGAGAGGCUGAGGGUUCUAUUAGAAGACAUUGUGAAAAGUAUUAGUAAUAAAUAAAAGUCCUACAAAUUAGUAUCCAGACCCGUCCCUACAUCAUGCAUCGAAGAGAGAUAGAUCAUGCUAAAUUUCAUCAAUGCCGCUGGUAUGGUUCGACUUUGUUUCUGAAAAUAUGUUUACCAUGAUGACAGCAACGAUAAUUAGAGAAGUGAAUGGAUAGGAACAAAGAAAGGAAUACUGUAAAAAAUCA
Molecule: RNA transcript, 1140 nt
Organism: Zea mays
Lineage: Eukaryota; Viridiplantae; Streptophyta; Magnoliopsida; Poales; Poaceae
Gene name: protein kinase pseudogene
Exons: 3
Source: RefSeq, marked validated